This 461-nucleotide ribosomal RNA is filed under the name uncultured bacterium. RNAcentral's name for it is "bacterial SSU rRNA". It matches the Rfam family "Bacterial small subunit ribosomal RNA", at positions 343 to 796 of the family's 1533-position model. The record is from RNAcentral.
UGGAGGCAGCAGUAAGGAAUAUUGCACAAUGGGCGCAAGCCUGAUGCAGCAAUGCCGCGUGAGUGAUGAAGGCCUUCGGGUCGUAAAACUCUUUUCUGAGGGAAGAAUGGUUGGGAUAGGAAAUGAUCCCGGCGUGACGGUACCUCAGGAAUAAGCAACGGCUAACUCCGUGCCAGCAGCCGCGGUAAUACGGAGGUUGCGAGCGUUGUUCGGAAUUACUGGGCGUAAAGGGAGCGCAGGCGGUUCGGUAAGUCUGGAGUGAAAGCACGGGGCUCAACCCCGUCGGGUCUCUGGAUACUGCCGGACUUGAGUACGUGAGAGGAGAGCGGAAUUCCAGCUGUAGCGGUGAAAUGCGUAGAUAUCUGGAGGAACACCGGUGGCGAAGGCGGCUCUCUGGCACGAAACUGACGCUGAGGCUCGAAAGCAUGGGGAGCGAACGGGAUUAGAUACCCGGGUAGUCC